AACGAUGAACCACCUUCGGGUGGGGAUUAGUGGCGAACGGGUGAGUAACACGUGGGCAAUCUGCCCUGCACUCUGGGACAAGCCCUGGAAACGGGGUCUAAUACCGGAUACUGACCUGCCAAGGCAUCUUGGCGGGUCGAAAGCUCCGGCGGUGCAGGAUGAGCCCGCGGCCUAUCAGCUUGUUGGUGAGGUAAUGGCUCACCAAGGCGACGACGGGUAGCCGGCCUGAGAGGGCGACCGGCCACACUGGGACUGAGACACGGCCCAGACUCCUACGGGAGGCAGCAGUGGGGAAUAUUGCACAAUGGGCGCAAGCCUGAUGCAGCGACGCCGCGUGAGGGAUGACGGCCUUCGGGUUGUAAACCUCUUUCAGCAGGGAAGAAGCGAAAGUGACGGUACCUGCAGAAGAAGCGCCGGCUAACUACGUGCCAGCAGCCGCGGUAAUACGUAGGGCGCAAGCGUUGUCCGGAAUUAUUGGGCGUAAAGAGCUCGUAGGCGGCUUGUCGCGUCGGUUGUGAAAGCCCGGGGCUUAACCCCGGGUCUGCAGUCGAUACGGGCAGGCUAGAGUUCGGUAGGGGAGAUCGGAAUUCCUGGUGUAGCGGUGAAAUGCGCAGAUAUCAGGAGGAACACCGGUGGCGAAGGCGGAUCUCUGGGCCGAUACUGACGCUGAGGAGCGAAAGCGUGGGGAGCGAACAGGAUUAGAUACCCUGG
Molecule: ribosomal RNA, 711 nt
Filed under: Streptomyces diastaticus
Lineage: Bacteria; Bacillati; Actinomycetota; Actinomycetes; Kitasatosporales; Streptomycetaceae
Description: bacterial SSU rRNA
Rfam family: Bacterial small subunit ribosomal RNA
Source: RNAcentral